CCUCAUGAGUUUGGAUUUUUUUACCAAACGCGCUCACAAAAGGAGGUAUUUGGACAUAAAUGAUGGACUUUAUCGAACAAAACAAACAUUUAUUGUGGAACUGGGAUUCCUGGGAGUGCAUUCUGAUGAAGAUCAUCAAAGGCCGGUGGUGGCUGGUUCACUGCAAUGCAGCAAUGAAGGGUCCAAGACGUCCUCCACCGGCACCCAGCAUCUCCGGACCGUACCCCUCCCACUCUUCUAUGACUAACGAGAACAGAGCAGGAGAUAUUGGACAGCCUUGACUACAGCCCCUCCCGAUAGGAACUCUUUCUGAUAAUUUACCAUUUGCAUUAACUGCCACUGAUGGGUC
Oncorhynchus tshawytscha (Chinook salmon) is the source of this 349-nucleotide long non-coding RNA. Lineage: Eukaryota; Metazoa; Chordata; Actinopteri; Salmoniformes; Salmonidae. The record is from Ensembl.